RNAcentral lists this ribosomal RNA (894 nucleotides) under Pithya villosa. Its description in RNAcentral is "Pithya sp. MZ-2021a partial large subunit ribosomal RNA". It matches the Rfam family "Eukaryotic large subunit ribosomal RNA", at positions 46 to 961 of the family's 3401-position model. Lineage: Eukaryota; Fungi; Ascomycota; Pezizomycetes; Pezizales; Sarcoscyphaceae. The record is from RNAcentral.
ACAAUACGAGGAAAGAACCAACAGGGAUUGCCUUAGUAACUGCGAGUGAAGCGGCAAAAGCUCAGAUUUGAAACCUGCCGUCUUUGGCGGCCGGAUUGUAAUCUGGAGAGACCACUUCUGGUGGGCAGCCGGUCCAAGUUCUUUGGAACAAGGCAUCAGAGAGGGUGAGAAUCCCGUAUCUGGCCGGUUCGUCCCACCUUGUGAAGGGUCUUCGACGAGUCGAGUUGUUUGGGAAUGCAGCUCAAAAUGGGUGGUAAAUUUCAUCUAAAGCUAAAUACUGGCGAGAGACCGAUAGCGCACAAGUAGAGUGAUCGAAAGAUGAAAAGCACUUUGAAAAGAGAGUCAAAAAGUACGUGAAAUUGUUGAAAGGGAAGCGCUUGAGACCAGACUCGGGCCGAGGUGAUCAGCGGUGCUUCUGCGCCGUGCACUUGCCUCGACCCGGGCCAGCAUCGGUUGUGACGGCGGGAUAAAGGCUCGAGGAAUGUGGCUCCCCUCGGGGAGUGUUAUAGCCUCGGGUGCAAUGCCGCCUGCCGCGACCGAGGACCGCGCUUCGGCUAGGAUGCUGGCGUAAUGGUCUUCAGCGACCCGUCUUGAAACACGGACCAAGGAGUCUAACAUCUAUGCGAGUGUUCGGGUGUAAAACCCCUGCGCGUAAUGAAAGUGAACGGAGGUGGGAACCCCUCACGGGGUGCACCAUCGACCGAUCCUGAUGUCUUCGGAUGGAUUUGAGUAGGAGCAUAGCUGUUGGGACCCGAAAGAUGGUGAACUAUGCCUGAAUAGGGUGAAGCCAGAGGAAACUCUGGUGGAGGCUCGCAGCGGUUCUGACGUGCAAAUCGAUCGUCAAAUUUGGGUAUAGGGGCGAAAGACUAAUCGAACCUCUAUAGUGGUCCGAAC